CGGGGGAGGUCGGAUCCUGGGCUGUGUCCCGGCGCCCUGUGCUCCGAGGCCUGCGCUGUUGGAUUCGCGGAGCCGCCGCCCGAGCCCCCCCCC
Non-coding RNA from Canis lupus familiaris (dog), 93 nucleotides. The record is from Rfam. NCBI's taxonomy places the organism in Eukaryota, Metazoa, Chordata, Mammalia, Carnivora, Canidae.